AGUGAACGCUGGCGGUAGGCCUAACACAUGCAAGUCGAACGGCAGCACAGUAAGAGCGUGCGCUUACGGGUGGCGAGUGGCGGACGGGUGAGGAAUACAUCGGAAUCUACUUUUUCGUGGGGGAUAACGUAGGGAAACUUACGCUAAUACAGCAUACGACCUACGGGUGAAAGCAUGGGAUCUUCUGACCUUGCGCGAUUGAAUGAGCCGAUGACGGAUUAGCUAGUUGGCGGGGUAAAGGCCCACCAAGGCGACGAUCCGUAGCUGGUCGGAGAGGAGGAUCGGCCACACUGGAGCGGAGACACGGUCCAGACUCCUACGGGACGCAGCAGUGGGGAAUGUUGGACAAUGGGCGCAAGCCUGAUCCAGCCAUCCCGCGUGGGUGAAGAAGGCCUUCGGGUUGUAAAGCCCUUUUGUUGGGAAAGAAAAGCAGCAGGUUAAUACCCAGCUGUUCUGACGGUACCCAAAGAAUAAGCACCGGCUAACUUCGUG
RNAcentral lists this ribosomal RNA (492 nucleotides) under uncultured bacterium. RNAcentral describes it as "partial 16S ribosomal RNA". It matches the Rfam family "Bacterial small subunit ribosomal RNA", at positions 29 to 507 of the family's 1533-position model. The record is from RNAcentral.